Molecule: ribosomal RNA, 637 nt
Filed under: uncultured fungus
Lineage: Eukaryota; Fungi
Description: eukaryotic LSU rRNA
Rfam family: Eukaryotic large subunit ribosomal RNA
Source: RNAcentral
CCCGCUGAACUUAAGCAUAUCAAUAAGCGGAGGAAAAGAAACUAACAAGGAUUCCCCUAGUAACUGCGAGUGAAGCGGGAAAAGCUCAAAUUUAAAAUCUGGUGGUCUUUGGCCAUCCGAGUUGUAAUUUAGAGAAGCGUCUUCCGCGCUGGACCGUGCACAAGUCUCCUGGAACGGAGCGUCGUAGAGGGUGAGAAUCCCGUCUUUGGCAUGGACACACCAGGGCUUUUGCGAUGCGCUCUCGAAGAGUCGAGUUGUUUGGGAAUGCAGCUCAAAAUGGGUGGUGAACUCCAUCUAAAGCUAAAUAUUGGCGAGAGACCGAUAGCGAACAAGUACCGUGAGGGAAAGAUGAAAAGCACUUUGGAAAGAGAGUGAAACAGUACGUGAAAUUGUUGAAAGGGAAACGCUUGAAGUCAGUCGCGUCGUCCGAGACUCAGCCUCGCCUCGGCUUGGUGUACUUCUCGGCCCGACGGGUCAGCAUCAAUUUCGCCUCUCGGAUAAAGGUCGGGGGAAUGUGGCAUCCUUCGGGAUGUGUUAUAGACCUCGAUUCGGAUACGGCGAUUGGGAUUGAGGAACUCGGCGCUCUGCGUCCAGGAUGCUGGCAUAAUGGCUUUAAGCGACCCGUCUUGAAACACGG